GGUCAUGGUCUGUAGUUAUACUGGCUGUCUCCCUUGCUUACUUAAAGGUACAAUCCAAUUGAAAAUAAAGAUUUUUGCAGGUUUGCUCAUUACACACAGUGUCGGCAGCUGGUGAGUGUCUUUUGCAAUUCAUCAGAGGCCUCCCAGACCACCUGCUCUCGGCAUCCUGCAAACAGCUGGCUCUGGGACCCUGGCUGACACCCUUCAUUAAAAGAUAAUGCUUGCUCCCACUGCCCCUCCUGAGAACCAGAAAGAUAAUAUAAUUAAAUCUUAGCACCCCCUACUUGGGUAUGCUGGGUCAACUAAUGAAAAAUAUGAACUAUCCACCAAAGGAGCUGCAACAUCUGGCCAAUGUGGUGCUGGAAGGGCAUGAUGUCAAGCCAAGACCAAGGAAGCCUCGUCCACCACAGAAGGAACAUCAGCUCCGUGGAGGGCACAAGUUGCAAGGCGGCCAUGCUGCACGACUCCAGGGGGCACCACUCACACAGAAAGCAGCCAUCCCUGCUGGCAGAGGCAGGAUGCCCAUCAGGUCCUAGAGGACAUAGAGGGCUGCUUGCCCGGUCAGCCUGGGGAGUUUUCCAGAAGAGGCCAUAUGACACUACAAAUCUAUUCCCAGUAACUCACGCAUCUCUGCCCAAAGCAGGUCCUCUAUUUGCAGGAAGAAUCGAGACAAAGCAAGCUCCUCCACGCUGUGACUCCAGGAGAGAAGAGAAGGACGAGGCACCAGGGGUGUCACAAGGCUGGGUGAAAACCAGGGAGAACCGUGAGCAUUAUGAG
Molecule: long non-coding RNA, 777 nt
Filed under: Sus scrofa (pig)
Lineage: Eukaryota; Metazoa; Chordata; Mammalia; Artiodactyla; Suidae
Description: lncRNA (ENSSSCG00030051250.1)
Source: RNAcentral